GAUGAACGCUGGCGGCGUGCCUAACACAUGCAAGUCGAGCGGCAGCGAGGGGUGCUUGCACCCUGCCGGCGAGCGGCGGACGGCUGAGUAACGCGUGGGAACGUGCCCCAAAGUGAGGAAUAACUGCCCGAAAGGGUAGCUAAUACCGCAUAUUAUCUUCGGAUCAAAGGAUUUAUCCGCUUUGGGAGCGGCUCGCGUCGGAUUAGGUAGUUGGUGAGGUAAUGGCUCACCAAGCCGACGAUCCGUAGCUGGUCUGAGAGGAUGACCAGCCAGACUGGAACUGAGACACGGUCCAGACUCCUACGGGAGGCAGCAGUGAGGAAUCUUCCACAAUGGGCGAAAGCCUGAUGGAGCAACGCCGCGUGCAGGACGAAGGCCUUCGGGUUGUAAACUGCUUUUAUAAGUGAGGAAUAUGACGGUAACUGAUGAAUAAGGAUCGGCUAACUACGUG
Molecule: ribosomal RNA, 451 nt
Filed under: uncultured bacterium
Lineage: Bacteria
Description: partial 16S ribosomal RNA
Rfam family: Bacterial small subunit ribosomal RNA
Source: RNAcentral